ACGAACGCUGGCGGCGUGCUUAACACAUGCAAGUCGAACGCUGAAGCUCAGCUUUUGUUGGGUGGAUGAGUGGCGAACGGGUGAGUAACACGUGAGUAACCUGCCCCCUUCUUUGGGAUAACGCCCGGAAACGGGUGCUAAUACUGGAUAUUCACUGGUCUUCGCAUGGGGGCUGGUGGAAAGGGUUUUUCUGGUGGGGGAUGGGCUCGCGGCCUAUCAGCUUGUUGGUGGGGUGAUGGCCUACCAAGGCUUUGACGGGUAGCCGGCCUGAGAGGGUGACCGGUCACAUUGGGACUGAGAUACGGCCCAGACUCCUACGGGAGGCAGCAGUGGGGAAUAUUGCACAAUGGGCGCAAGCAUGAUGCAGCGACGCCGCGUGAGGGAUGGAGGCCUUCGGGUUGUGAACCUCUUUCGCUCAUGGUCAAGCCGCAACAAUGGUUGUGGUGAGGGUAGUGGGUAAAGAAGCGCCGGCUAACUACGUG
Molecule: ribosomal RNA, 482 nt
Filed under: uncultured bacterium
Lineage: Bacteria
Description: partial 16S ribosomal RNA
Rfam family: Bacterial small subunit ribosomal RNA
Source: RNAcentral